CAGACAAGGACCUAUCCAUCGUGUAUCCGACUGAAAACAAAACCAAAUUUGUGUUAACUUCCGACGAUUUAUUGCCAUGGCGAUCGAUGCAAUCCCUCCACUUAUCGCUGCACAGCUGAAUUACUUAGUCACUCACACUCCCUUCUCUGUCAAGGUAGAGAACAUGUGGCCUGGAGGGAAAAACACUGGUCUGCUUGAUCGAUUCACCUUAGUUAUCCCUUUUUGCCUCGAUUACAUCAAAUGGGAUGUGAUAUAUAAUGCUGUGUAUCCUUUGGCGGCACCGGAUAUUAUAUUUGGACCGGAAGAUGAAAAUUUUCGACCGUAUCAUGCUCUUGGAGAUGCUAGUGAUUCAAAGUCAUUGAAGAAUCCUCUUACUGUCUGGAAUAGUAGAGAUCCCACUCGUCUCUACUCUCUGGUUCUGCAGCUCAGGGAACUGUACAAGGCAUACCAAAAGAAAAGAGUUGAAGAAGUUGAUGAUGACAGGCUGAAGUUUGAAAUCAGCACAAUGCUCUCGAGAGAGGGUAUUGAAAUGUCUUUGAGUUCAAAUAUUGAUAAGCCAGAAGAGGUUAAAUUUGCUGUCCCGUUGCUGGAUUUGGAUUUAAACAAAAUGGUUGCCGGAUCCACGUGGCGCCAUCAGCAAAAGAUAUACCUACAGGUUAUAUAUCCAAUUGGCAGGAAAUACUCCAGUGUUCCUUCUGCCCCACGUUUAAAAUUGAUUUCUUCUCCUGAAUUGAAGGCUGUCUUCUCAAUUGAUGAUUUCAGGCUUCCUGCGUGGUUGGAUGGAAUGUGCAUGGCUGAGUACCUUCCGACUUUAGAAGAGAUGCUUGAGUCACAGAUAAAAGACGCAGUUUCAUCCAUCGAAAGUAGAAGGAAGCUCAUUAUGGCAUUAGCUCCUCUUUUUGGAAGGCCAGUGGAAGCCGAUCCAGUUUUCUGCAGGAAGGCGACCUUUUUAUCUUCCUCUGGGGUAUUUACUUUUCUGGUUCAUCUUGCCAUCCCACUUCAGUUCCCUAAGCAGCAGCCAAGUUUGAUGCUUCAGAGUUCCCAGUCAAAUUUUCAAUAUAAUGAUGACUCACUGCUCUCUGUGCAUGUGCAUCGGCAUGUUUGCUUAGCACUUCAAUUCUCAAGGUCUGCCCAUUAAGUCUCCAGUCACUACUGAAUAUCCGUGGAGUCCCAGAUGGGAAGUAUCAGAUAUGGCUGAGCGGAUCUUUGAUUUCAUUGUGGAAGAAUGCUUGAAUUUCAAGAAAUACUGCAGUGAAUCUAUGCUUCAAAACCGAUGAGAGCAGCUGUUGCAAAAGUUCGUUUGUUUCAUAUUUUGGUGAUAUUCCUGUAUGUAAGUCUUUAGCUGUUGAUCCCUGUGUCGUAAUGUUUCUAGAUGUGCAGAAGAAAGACCCCAAGGGACCUAACAGUGUUCUAAUUGCAUACUCUGUCGUGCUUUUCUAAUUUCUAUUUUGAUAACAUUUUCUGUGA
Molecule: RNA transcript, 1467 nt
Organism: Lycium barbarum (goji berry)
Lineage: Eukaryota; Viridiplantae; Streptophyta; Magnoliopsida; Solanales; Solanaceae
Exons: 13
Source: RefSeq, a predicted model, not a curated record